AACACAGCUUUUAGCUGUAAAUUUGAAGGUUUUGAACAUAGAAGUGACAUAAUUUGACUUAUAAAAUCUCACUCUGAUUGUUGUCCUGAUAAAUGGGACAAGGGUAGAAUUAGGGAAACCAUUUAAGAAGAUACUGCAAAGCCCAGGUAAGAUAUAAUAGUGCCUAAUAUUUGGGCAGUACAGUGAAGUUACUUGGAUUCUGAAUAUAUUUUGAAGAUAAAGACAAACAGCUUUGCUCAUGGAUUGGAUGUGUGGUAUAUUAGUUGUCUAUUGCUUCAUGACAGUUUAGCUCAAAACAUACUGAAUUAAAGCAACCAUUUAUGAUUCCAUAAUUCUUGAGGGUCAGAAAUUGGAGAGCAGCUUAGGUGGGUAAUUUUGGUUCAGGGUAUCUCAUCAGGUUGCAGUUAGGAGGCUAUCAGGGGCUCCUAUUAUCUGAAGGCUUCACUGGGGCUGGAUGAUCUGCUUCUAAGAUGGAUCCUUGCAUGGCUGUUGGCAGGAAGCCCCAGUCCCUUGUCACAUGGACCUCUCCAUCGGGUGCUAGUAUAUUUUCAUAAGACCACUAACUUCCCCCUGUAUUAUGAUAUAAUAUGGGAGUACCCCCAACCCCCAAAUUUAUAUGUUCAAAACCCAACCUCCAAUGUAAUUGUAUUAGGAGAUAAGGCCUUUGGGGAUGUGAUUAAGUUUAGGUGAGAUCAUAAGAAUGGGGUCCUGAUCCAAUAGGAUUAGUGUCUUUAAAAAAAAGACACCAGAGAGCUUGUUCUCUUUCUCCACCAGUGAGAAGGCGGUGUCUGCAAGCCAGGAAGAGAACCGUCACCAGAAACUGAUUGUGCUGGACCUUGAUCUUGGACUUCUAACCUCCAGAACUAUGACUCAUGGAAGGGAGAGAGCAGCCUGAUGGAGAAGAUGCUUUGGCAAGUGCACUGAAGAACAUCGUGGAAGAAGGAAGGGGAUAAAUACUGCAAAGGAGGACGAGGAAGGAGCACUGAGCUCUAUGUGGGGAAAAGGGGUCAGAAAGAGGGAGAUGCCUAUUCACAUGCAUGGCGUUUAAUAGAUUUACUAGGUUGUUUACUGUGUGAUGUAAAUCUCCUCCUCUCUCUUCUUGAAAUUUCUUAAGUGAAUUCUACAUUGUUCAUCCAUUCAUGUUUAUGUGCCAGCAAGCUUUGGGAGGGCUGUAAAAAUUAAAAAGGUUAGACCAUUGUUAGACAUCUGGGAAUCAUCUGUGUUAGAGAAGGUACAUAUCUCUUUCUCUUUUUUGGAUGGAAUACAUUUUAUUUUUCUAAAAUUUGUAUUUGAAGCUAUUUAUUUCUAAUUGUCAAAAAUGUGAAAUGAGAAAUUUAAAAAAUUUUUUAAUUUCUCUUGUCCCACCACUUUAUAUACUACCAGGAUUUGUUGAAUAAUUUGGAAUUUUAGACUUAAGAUAAUUUUCUGAUGUAUAUUAUAGAUUAUAGAUCUUCUAUUUCAAGAAUUAGUUUAUAUUUGAAUUAAAAUUUACAACUGCAUUAAAAUGUACCUAACUAU
Non-coding RNA from Callithrix jacchus (white-tufted-ear marmoset), 1518 nucleotides. The record is from RefSeq and is a predicted model, not a curated record. NCBI's taxonomy places the organism in Eukaryota, Metazoa, Chordata, Mammalia, Primates, Cebidae.